Ruditapes philippinarum (Manila clam) is the source of this 397-nucleotide long non-coding RNA. RefSeq lists it as uncharacterized. NCBI's taxonomy places the organism in Eukaryota, Metazoa, Mollusca, Bivalvia, Venerida, Veneridae. The transcript is spliced from 3 exons. The record is from RefSeq and is a predicted model, not a curated record.
ACGUAGUACACAUGUUUAUUGCGUAGUACACAGGUUUAUUGAGCGCGCAAUAUUCAAAGACGGCAAAAACUUCGUCUCAAAUCAACAGUGAACUGAUGAUAUCGUCUCCCCAAUAAAGAUAUACAACGAGGAAGGUGAAAUUGCUCAAGCAAAUUAUCAGAAGAAGACCUUCAAAGCUGCAAUCGGUGAAAUUCACUGUCCUGCUGACAGUGUCCAAUGUGAAAGUUCAUCGAAAAGGCAGGAACUGCUGGGGGUCGUGUGGUUGAGGCUAGAUCUGACGGAUGGGAGGAUGAGUGCAGAAGCCUGUGUAGAAAGAUUCGGCGCAUGGAGGAGCGAAUUACUGCUUUAGAGAGUCAGAAUACAAAAGUGGAGGACCCCGAAUUAUAAGCUGUGGAAC